GGGGACGACCCUCGGCCAGGGACGCGUGUCCGCCUGUCCCCGGCGAGAGCCGGGCAGGGGGAGGCGGGGCGGGGGUCUGCCCGCCGAGCAGGGGCAGGGCAGCGGUCCGCGGCGGAGGUGAGUCCGAGCCGAGCGGCCGCUCCGCCCGCCCGGAGGGGCGGGGGGUCGGGGCAGCCCCCCCCGCGCCGGGGCUGCGGGCGGAGGCCGCGGCGGUGGCGGCCCCCGGCAGCUCCUCCCCCGCCCGAGUUACAACCGGUUCGUGCCGGCCGCGGCCCGCCCGCCGCGCCGCGAUGCGGGGCUGCCCCGGCUCCCCGGGGGCGGCUCCGGGCCCCCGCCCCACGGGCCGCCCGCCCGCAGGUAACGGGGCCGGGGCCCCCGGGGGGACCCGCGCUUCGGGGGUGGGGGGCGCGGGCGAGGGGGGCGGGGGGCGGCCGGCCGGAGCCCCCGCAAGGGCCGCUGUCCCCCGGUUCGGCCCGGUCCGGCCCCGCUCUGCGGUGGGAGCUGCCCCGGGGGCUGGGGCGGCAGGGCCGGGCCGGGGUUCAGGAGGGGUGCUCUGCGCGGUCUUCGGAAAGAGGCUUCGGGAAAAGGAGUAGGAGCGGACCCGGGGCGAGCGCAUCCCUUGCGGUGCCCCUCGACGACCACCCCUCCAUGUUGGCUGUGGUGCCUCCUGGUGUGCCCCGUUGGCAUCCGGUGGGCAGUGUUUGCGACAUCAGCACCUGCCGCGGGCACAUGUCAGCGGGCGCCCGUCGCCAUCGGUGCGUGCCCAUUGCGGGAGCCCACCAGCCCCCGUCUGUGCCCAUUGCGGGCUCCCCGUGGCACCUCGGUGGCUGCGGCUGCCCCGGAGCGGGGCACCGUGGCUCGGACAGUGUGUGGCAUCGGGACGGUGAGGACGACCUUCAGUCCCCUCCUGAUGCGCGUCACUGCGCGGAUGAGCGCUUCCCGUCGAAACUGGCCUGGAGGUGGAAGGCGUCAAUGUGUAACGCGGGGCUGUGGGCUGUCCCCCGAGGGCGUGGGGAGAGACGAGGCGAGCCGGGGGCUAUAAGAGGCCAUCCAUCCCCACGGAGCCUCUGGCCAAGGGACACGGACGGACCGAGGGAACAGAUGCCGAAGGGAACCCUCGCAGGUUGUGAUGGUUAA
Molecule: long non-coding RNA, 1137 nt
Filed under: Parus major (Great Tit)
Lineage: Eukaryota; Metazoa; Chordata; Aves; Passeriformes; Paridae
Description: lncRNA (ENSPMJG00000015423.1)
Source: RNAcentral